AACGUAGGGGGCUAGCGUUGCCCGGAUUCACUGGGCGUAAAGAGUGUGUAGGCGGUGCUCCCAGUCUGUUGUGAAAUCUCCCGGCUUAACUGGGAGGGUGCAGCGGAAACUAGAGUGCUAGAGGGUGGGAGAGGUAAGCGGAAUUCCUGGUGUAGCGGUGAAAUGCGUAGAUAUCAGGAGGAACACCUGCGGUGUAGACGGCUUACUGGACCAUAACUGACGCUGAGGCACGAAAGCGUGGGUAGCAAACAGG
RNAcentral lists this ribosomal RNA (253 nucleotides) under uncultured bacterium. RNAcentral describes it as "partial 16S ribosomal RNA". It matches the Rfam family "Bacterial small subunit ribosomal RNA", at positions 524 to 776 of the family's 1533-position model. The record is from RNAcentral.